UUUUUAUUUCGCACAAGAAAUAAGAAAAACGAGGCACGCAUAAAAAACCCUAGUAUGUCAGUGGCUCUUUAGUGCUUUUUAUUUCGCACAAGAAAUAAGAUAACCGAGGAGGCGUAAGAGAUUCUAUUAUGUCAAUGUCUAUGACGAUAGAGAAACCAGCCGGCAAGGAGGUGGGCUGCGACCCGGCGCAACUGGCGAAACGUGGAUGGCUGAACGUCGACAAGGACGACGACGAUGACGUCAGAGAGCCGACCUGCAUAAGUAUGUUGCCAAGGAAAAACAAGGACGACGACGAGGAGAUCUGGGUUCCGGCAAAGUACUGUGAGUGUUCCAUCCUGACUUGCUGCUGAGGUCAAAUUGAACAUGUCUUCUUUCUAGGUAACAAGCCAGAAGAACCUCCUAGUGAUGAAGAGUUAAAACGCCUAGGUCACCUUUUGGCAGAAGAACCAGACAAGCUCACAAGGGAAGAAUCAACCCUCCUAUGUCGCUUUCUCCCUACCCCGCAGUUUGAUGAACUCUUCUUUAAACGGAGAAGGGAGAAGAAUGCCAGCAAAUCCAAAGAACCAAAGGCUUCUAUUCCGUUUGUCUAUGAAGGAGGUGGAGAUAGUCUGCACAAUUGCAGGAUUUGUGGCAAGAAGGACCACUUUGAUGUAGAUUGCUCUUACAUGAACUUUGUCCCUCAGGGUGUAAAUGUUGGCCCCGAGUAUAUGGUGGUCUGUCGGAUAUGCGGUCAUAGGGUUAGCCAGCCUGUUGGAGAUUGUCAGGCAUGUGGUACGGAGGGAGGACGUGCUGUUAUGAAGGUGUGUAUUUUUUGUUUAUGCCUUGGUGACCACUUGCCUGAGGACUGCCCACGCACAAAGAGACAUAAGACUCGAUCCAAAUCAGAAGAUGCAUUGAUCAUAAGCUAAUUCAACGUUGAUCUUGGCAAAGAAACAGUGCUGUAGAGGAUUGGAUGAUGUUAGCUUUGUGAACAAGGACAAUGGCCAAGGCAAUUUGGCCUUGUAUUUCAAGCUUAUAACAAUAUAUAUCUGUUCUUAAUAAAUGGUGUCAGCGAGUGUAGGAUUCGGUUAGGUGAACUUUGUGAACAGGGAAGAUGCCAAGUCGCGCUGACCUGUGUUAUAAGCUCAUAAUGAUA
RNA transcript from Rosa rugosa (rugosa rose), 1135 nucleotides. RefSeq lists it as uncharacterized. NCBI's taxonomy places the organism in Eukaryota, Viridiplantae, Streptophyta, Magnoliopsida, Rosales, Rosaceae. The record is from RefSeq and is a predicted model, not a curated record. The transcript has 3 exons.